Non-coding RNA from Paramuricea clavata, 1425 nucleotides. NCBI's taxonomy places the organism in Eukaryota, Metazoa, Cnidaria, Anthozoa, Malacalcyonacea, Plexauridae. The record is from the annotation of a GenBank genome assembly.
AUUUUUUAUUUUUUUCUAAAGUGUUCAGUCGGAAAGGAGCUAAAAUUUAUUAAAGUUUUGCAGGCAAAUUUGACAUGUUAGUGUUUCAUAAAUAGAUCCAUCUUGAUCCAUCUAGACCCAUCAAUGCACCAUGAUUGGCAUAAUUUUUUUCUGGACAGCAUGGAUAGUCCGACACUGCAUGUCUGCAUCCCAAAAAAUGCAAGUUUGAUUGCCUUGAUUAAUUGUUUAGAUUAUUAUAGUUGAUCUAGUACACGGCACCAUGCGGUACAGUACACUCAAUAAACCAUUGAAAUCAUGCAUAUGUUUUGUUAACCAUAACUCAUAACAUUGGUUCAUGGUCAGUACUAUUGGUUCUAUUGGUUUUAUUUUACAAUCAGUAUUUUCGAAUUUUUGUUGCCUGUCGAUGACUUUCAACAUGGAAGUUUUUUUUUUUUUAACUUGUAUUCUCAGUCGAAUGUAUAGUAUCACAUGGUGUAUAUAAAUAAUUCUAUCUGUUCUGUUGAAAAUGCAGUCUGUAAAUGCACCAUUUGCGGUUGACCUUAAAAUGUUGGAGGAACGCUAACAAAAGAUCAGCAGCUAUUGUAAUGUCGAGAGUGUUUUAGGAUCGCUGCAGCAAAAGUCAAUUCCUUUUUGGUUCAGUUAGGAUCGCUGCAGCAACUAGUCAAUUCCUUUUUGGUUCAGUUGAUCUACAGGAGAAAACUGGAGUGAUAGACUGAAAACCUGUGGUAGUUGGUUCAGUUCAAUAUCCCACCAGACAACUAGCCAUCCAUUAUUGAUCUAAUCAUCAUUCCCCGUAGCUAAGCAUGUUCCGAAGUUAAACUCUGCUCGUCUGCCUGACAACAGGAUUGUGAAGCGUUAUCCUCAACAUCCCUUCUUCCUCUUUGUUGUCCCUCGAUAUCAACCUGAAUGCCCCCCACGUGUUGCUCUGUUAUGACGUCAUUCUCGCAUUUUGAGCUCUCUUCUCUGUCCUUGUGAUGUUUCACAUGGUUGAUGUGAUUUUCGACGGUACUAUAAGUUCGUUGCUUCUCUAGAGCAAUUGAAUGUCUUCUUCUUGCGGCCUCGUUUCGACCUCCUACGUCCAUUCGAACUGGCAGAGGCCUUACUACAGUGACACAAAAUAAGAACAGGAAAUUAUAGAUUGUAAGGGCUGAUCUAACCUCAUCUGCAAGGAGGGUGUAGGUUCCCAUGGGGUGGUGCAUGAGGGAGCCUUACUGCCCACUCUGCAGUCUGCAACGCUUCUAUCCAACAGUACCAUUAUUUGAGAUGGCCGAAUCUGCAUGUUCGCCGUUGUGUUACGUUUUACAUCAUCUUUUGCUUAUAAAGUUUCUCAAGGACGGACUGGACAGUUGCUGUAGCACAGUAGAGUAAAUCUGCUUGUCAGGGGCGAAACUAGCCCCUUUUAAUUAGGGGGGUGUCUGGCAGAAU